RNAcentral lists this ribosomal RNA (429 nucleotides) under Bacteroidota bacterium. RNAcentral describes it as "Bacteroidetes bacterium partial 16S ribosomal RNA". It matches the Rfam family "Bacterial small subunit ribosomal RNA", at positions 355 to 776 of the family's 1533-position model. Lineage: Bacteria; Pseudomonadati; Bacteroidota. The record is from RNAcentral.
UAGGGAAUCUUCCGCAAUGGACGCAAGUCUGACGGAGCAACGCCGCGUGAGUGAAGAAGGAUUUCGGUUCGUAAACCUCUGUUGUUAGAGAAGAACAGCGCAUAGAGUAACUGUUAUGCGUGUGACGGUAUCUAACCAGAAAGCCACGGCUAACUACGUGCCAGCAGCCGCGGUAAUACGUAGGUGGCAAGCGUUGUCCGGAUUUAUUGGGCGUAAAGCGAGCGCAGGCGGUCAAUUAAGUCUGAUGUGAAAGCCCCCGGCUCAACCGGGGAGGGUCAUUGGAAACUGGUUGACUUGAGUGCAGAAGAGGAGAGUGGAAUUCCAUGUGUAGCGGUGAAAUGCGUAGAUAUAUGGAGGAACACCAGUGGCGAAGGCGACUCUCUGGUCUGUAACUGACGCUGAGGCUCGAAAGCGUGGGUAGCAAACAGG